AUGCUCCUCAAAGUGGAAUACCAUGGACUUAGAAAGUACCUAAAACUACAGCCUGGAUUUUCAUAUGGAAGUUUCAUUGAAGAAGUCAAGAACGAAUUUGGGAUCCCUCUAUCAAUUGAGUUGCUGUUCCUUGAUGACUCUGAUACUGUGGUGGAUGAAGAAGUAAUCCAUGACAUCCUUGAAGCCAACCCAAACAUAUGUCUGUUGGCCAAAGAUUUUGAAGAAUUUACACCAACAGGUUCUUCUACACCAAACUCUUCAAGAGAUGCUCAGUCGCUUGAUGUAGAAAUGUCAUCUUUGAGCCAGGCACAUCAGUGCAGUGUUGCAGAGGGCGCCCACACUUUUGCCGCAGAUGAUGCUGCAGAAAUGGCCAAAAAGGUGGGAUUUAAAAUUGCCCUCAUUACUAAUCUAAAUCUUCAACUGUC
RNAcentral lists this long non-coding RNA (425 nucleotides) under Gadus morhua (Atlantic cod). RNAcentral's name for it is "lncRNA (ENSGMOG00000035381.1)". Lineage: Eukaryota; Metazoa; Chordata; Actinopteri; Gadiformes; Gadidae. The record is from RNAcentral.